This 497-nucleotide ribosomal RNA is filed under the name uncultured bacterium. RNAcentral's name for it is "partial 16S ribosomal RNA". It matches the Rfam family "Bacterial small subunit ribosomal RNA", at positions 28 to 507 of the family's 1533-position model. The record is from RNAcentral.
GAUGAACGCUGGCGGCGUGCCUAAUACAUGCAAGUCGAGCGAACGGACGAGAAGCUUGUUUCUCUGAUGUUAGCGGCGGACGGGUGAGUAACACGUGGAUAACCUACCUAUAAGACUGGGAUAACUUCGGGAAACCGGAGCUAAUACCGGAUAAUAUUUUGAACCGCAUGGUUCAAAAGUGAAAGACGGUCUUGCUGUCACUUAUCGAUGGAUCCGCGCUGCAUUAGCUAGUUGGUAAGGUAACGGCUUACCAAGGCAACGAUGCAUAGCCGACCUGAGAGGGUGAUCGGCCACACUGGAACUGAGACACGGUCCAGACUCCUACGGGAGGCAGCAGUAGGGAAUCUUCCGCAAUGGGCGAAAGCCUGACGGAGCAACGCCGCGUGAGUGAUGAAGGUCUUCGGAUCGUAAAACUCUGUUAUUAGGGAAGAACAUAUGUGUAAGUAACUGUGCACAUCUUGACGGUACCUAAUCAGAAAGCCACGGCUAACUACGUG